AGAGGUACUUAGGACACUCCUCUGUUUUUUCCAGUUCUUUGUGCCUGUGGAGAAGAACAUAAAGCUCAUUGCCCAGCAACAGUGGGAAAAGAUGUUUACACCAUGAUGGCAACCACAGCAUUAGGCAUCCAGGAAGUUCUCCACAUUUCUACGGCAUUUUGCCAUGCUGAGCUUUGGCUGAGAAGACACAAAGAGGAUCACCACAAAAUACAAACACCUAUUACUUAGCUUGCACUAAAAGAUGUAAUAAAUAAAAGUGCACUACCACUGCAGGCGAAGGUACGUGGAUGCUGGCUACAGAGCGAGGACAAAUGUGAUUGGCUAAAUGACAAAGGACCACGCCGUCCAUCAGAGCAGCUCCGACAUCGUCUGGAAGCAACACCUUCAGUCUGGACUCAAUGUUCUGCAACAAUGUCAAGCAAAAAAAAUUUGUUUUCUUUACAAAGAUAAGAGUGCUUAGUUUUGACUAGCAGAGAGGUAUUAAUUUAACAAUAUGUUUAUUAUUGUGGUUGUAGUUUGCAGUGGAGGCACUGAUGGUGUAGUGGUACAUUUGCCUAUCUUUUGUGCAGUUAGUGAAUGAUGUCUGUCACUAGGCACUACAGUAUGUGCCCUUUGAUUGACUGAAGACCAAGUCCAGGGUGUAGUCCGCCUUUUCCCCAAUGUGAGCUGGGAUAGGUUCCGGUUCUCCAUGACCCUCAACAUGAUAGGCGGUAUAGAAGAUGGAUGGAAUUCUUUUUUUACCUCUGUCAGACAAAAAAAAACUUUGCUCGCAGUUUUACAAAGAUAAGAAUUCUCAGUUUUGAUUUGCACUGUCAGAGAGGUAUUAUUUCAAAACGUUCAUUAUUGUUGUAGUUUACAGUUGUGUAGAUCUGUAUUGCAUCAUCAUCAGUUUGACCCUCUAAUUAGCUAGUAAAAUAAUAUAUUUUGAUGAUUAAAUUUUUGAUUAUCCAAUAUUUCCUAAUAAAGAAGCAGUAGUGUUGUGUCACACCACGACGUAAAAUACUACAGAUUGAUAUUUGCUGCAAAACAUUAUCAACAUGGGAGGCAGAACUGUGCUAAAAAUGCUUAAUUUUGCUGCAGAAACACAAUAUAAUUUCAAAGGGCUGUUUGGUGUCAUUCAUUUACUUGGUAGUUUUAACAAUUUAAAAAAUCUUCAAGUAACUCAUUACUUGUUCCAUCCAUUGGUCCAUUUUCUACAGUUUAUCCUGUUCAGGGUCUACAGGUGAGCUGGCUCCUACCCCAGCUGACUAUUAGGUGGAGGUGGCGUACAAGCUGGACUGGACUUCAGUCAUUGAAAGGGUACAAACAAACAUUAACACUUACAUUAAAUUUAGAGUCUUCAAUUAACCUGACAUGCAUGUUUUUGCAAUGUGGGAGGAAGCCAAAAACCCAUGCAAUCAAGAACAUGGAGACUGCACGGGGAAAGGGCCGUGCCGAGAAUCGAACCAAGAAGUUUUAAAGCGAAAUCCUGCUCAAUACUGAGGAGAACGGGCUCAGUCAUUGCUUUAGUGAUAAUACUCCCAAAGCCAUUUUCCAGAAAAUGUUGCUCAUCACUGGUGCCUUGGGUCUUAAUUUUAAUUUAAGAGACAUUAACUGAGAAGCCAGCAUGGUCAGACUGCAAAUAUUUGGAGAAAACUCUCCUGAUACUGCCUUUGGCUUGUGACACAACUUUGGAAACAUGCCAAAUCAUAAAAUCGAUAAUAAAAAUAAUAUGACAA
Molecule: long non-coding RNA, 1718 nt
Organism: Phyllopteryx taeniolatus (common seadragon)
Lineage: Eukaryota; Metazoa; Chordata; Actinopteri; Syngnathiformes; Syngnathidae
Exons: 2
Source: RefSeq, a predicted model, not a curated record